RNAcentral lists this ribosomal RNA (497 nucleotides) under uncultured bacterium. RNAcentral's name for it is "partial 16S ribosomal RNA". It matches the Rfam family "Bacterial small subunit ribosomal RNA", at positions 28 to 507 of the family's 1533-position model. The record is from RNAcentral.
GAUGAACGCUGGCGGCGUGCCUAAUACAUGCAAGUCGAGCGAACGGACGAGAAGCUUGCUUCUCUGAUGUUAGCGGCGGACGGGUGAGUAACACGUGGAUAACCUACCUAUAAGACUGGGAUAACUUCGGGAAACCGGAGCUAAUACCGGAUAAUAUUUUGAACCGCAUGGUUCAAAAGUGAAAGACGGUCUUGCUGUCACUUAUAGAUGGAUCCGCGCUGCAUUAGCUAGUUGGUAAGGUAACGGCUUACCAAGGCAACGAUGCAUAGCCGACCUGAGAGGGUGAUCGGCCACACGGGAACUGAGACACGGUCCAGACUCCUGCGGGAGGCAGCAGUAGGGAAUCUUCCGCAAUGGGCGAAAGCCUGACGGAGCAACGCCGCGUGAGUGAUGAAGGUCUUCGGAUCGUAAAACUCUGUUAUUAGGGAAGAACAUAUGUGUAAGUAACUGUGCACAUCUUGACGGUACCUAAUCAGAAAGCCACGGCUAACUACGUG